UACUAGAGUAGCACUCGCAUAUCAAUAAGCGGAGGAAAAGAAACUAACUAGGAUUCCCUUAGUAACGGCGAGUGAAGCGGGAAGAGCUCAAAUUUGAAAUCUUCAAGGUUCUACCUUGACGAAUUGUAGUUUAAAGAAGCGUUUUCUGUUGGAGUUUUGGUAAAAGUUCUUUGGAAUAGGACAUCAUAGAGGGUGAGAAUCCCGUAUUUGACCAUUUCUUCCAGCUGUGUGAUACACUUUCAAAGGGUCGGAUUGUUUGGGAAUGCAGUCCAAAAUGGGUGGUAAAUUUCAUCUAUAGCUAAAUAUUGGCGAGAGACCGAUAGCGAACAAGUACCGUGAGGGAAAGAUGAAAAGAACUUUGAAAAGAGAGUUAAACAGUACGUGAAAUUGUCAAAAGGGAAGCGUUUGACACCAGUGUUGUUUAGUUGAAAAUCAAUUCAAUAGUUUUUGAUUCUAAGUAGUAUUGACUUCAUCAGCUUGCUGCCUUUCUUUAUGGAACUUUCUUGAAUGCACUUUUCAGUUAACAAGUCAACAUCAAUUUCUUUUGUUGUAAAAGAGUAAUGAGGAAGGUGGCUUGGCUUUCGGAUAAAGUGUUUAUAGCCUUUGUCUUCUGCAAUCGGAGAGAUUGAGGUCUGCAGCGUAGAUCCUUCGGGGUUAGAUACAUUGGUGCUAAGCUAUAGUUCUUGUAUAGACAACUUGUUGACUAUGAUCAGUCCUGUAGCUUACUCGCUGAUGCUAUUUUACCUACGCUUAGGAUGUUGAAGAUGUAGCACAUCAU
Molecule: ribosomal RNA, 778 nt
Filed under: uncultured Neocallimastigales
Lineage: Eukaryota; Fungi; Neocallimastigomycota; Neocallimastigomycetes; Neocallimastigales
Description: partial large subunit ribosomal RNA
Rfam family: Eukaryotic large subunit ribosomal RNA (bases 14-697)
Source: RNAcentral